CCUACGGGAGGCAGCAGUGGGGAAUAUUGCACAAUGGGGGAAACCCUGAUGCAGCGACGCCGCGUGAGUGAAGAAGUAUCUCGGUACGUAAAGCUCUAUCAGCCGGGAAGAAAAUGACGGUACCUGACUAAGAAGCCCCGGCUAACUGCGUGCCAGCAGCCGCGGUAAUACGUAGGGGGCAAGCGUUAUCCGGAUUUACUGGGUGUAAAGGGAGCGUAGACGGCAGCACAAGUCUGGAGUGAAAUCCCGGGGCUUAACCCCGGAACUGCUGUGGAAACUGUGCGGCUGGAGUGCAGGAGGGGUAAGCGGAAUGCCUGGUGUAGCGGUGAAAUGCGUAGAUAUUAGGAGGAACCCCGGUGGCGAAGGCGGCUUACUGGACUGUAACUGACGUUGAGGCUCGAAAGCGUGGGGAGCAAACAGGAUUAGAUACCCGUGUAGUC
This 440-nucleotide ribosomal RNA is filed under the name uncultured bacterium. Its description in RNAcentral is "partial 16S ribosomal RNA". It matches the Rfam family "Bacterial small subunit ribosomal RNA", at positions 338 to 795 of the family's 1533-position model. The record is from RNAcentral.